AUGAAUUAACAAGAUUACCAGUGGAGAUGUUCGAGUCGUGUACGUCUCUCCGAGAGCUGAAGUUGUCCUAUUGCCGCAGUCUGGUCUCCUUUCCCCUUGAUUUGCGACGAACCCCUUCUCUCGAGAGCUUCUCGUUACGGAGGUGUCCCAACUUGAUUGCUGAGAUGCCUAGUGGAUUUGGCUAUCUUACGAGCUUAAGGAAAGUGGAGAUUGGUCCCUUCUCAGAUUACUCAGUAAUCGAAUUUGAUUGGGCUGGAUUAGCAUCUUCAUCAUCACUCCGACACGUGUCUUUGCAUGGGAUGCCUGACACGAAAUCUCUGCCACAUCAGCUUCAAGACUUGACUACCAUCACAUCACUAUCUCUAAGUGGCUUCGGAGCAAUCGAAGCCUUAUCAGAUUGGCUUGGGAACCUUGCAUCUCUUGAAGAGCUAAUCCUAUUCAAUUGCCCAAAGCUUGAAUAUUUACCCUCCGUAGAUGCCAUGGAACGCCUCAAAUUAAGAUGUCUGGAAAUUUGGUAUUGUCCUCUAUUAACCGAAAGAUGCACUCCUCAAAGCGGCUCCGAGUGGCCCAAGAUCUCUAAUAUUCCGGAGCGUAAAAGUGAUUAAAAGUCAUCUUUCCGAGCCAUCGGACACUGCAGAAGACGUGAAGCUGCUGAAGCAAAAUGGGGUGAUCAAGGGUGCUCUCAUGGAUGAUGAAAUUGCUGAUCAAUUCAAUGGUAUAAAGAGAUGUUACGCCGGCUCAGAUCAGAACUCCAACAUUGAGGUUGCCAUUGACAAAGUUAACAACUUCUACAGCAAGAAACUUUUGGUCAUGACGGUUAGACGGUAGGAGGAGGACUUGUAUGCUUCAUGGAAAUGUCUGGCCGUGGUUUCCACUGUGGCGCUGCGGGUCGUACUUAGCAUGCAGACGUUUUGCGAGUUCUAUCAAUGCAGCAAAGUCUGGAACUUCAACAAGUGUCAUCUCUAUCAGCACCGGCAAGUAAAAUAAUUUGUUUAGGCACCAAGGUUCCCGUGUUGUUCUUAUGAGAAUGGCAAGAUGGAGAAGUUAUUUUCACUUAUCAGCCAGAUUUUGAAGAUGGAAGGUAGUUAUUUGGUUUUUCCCACCAGAAUGCCAUAUAUUGCUCAGAAUGCAGAAGCAUGCUGAAAACAGAGUGGCUUGUGCCAGGCUUGUAGAAAGUAAUGUGGAUGGAGAAGAAUUAGAGGGGAGCAUGGCAGCUAGUACUAGAGAGCUAUCAAGAUACAAGACUUGCUUGAAGAAAACUAGACGUGCUGAUACUUUAGUUCCAGAGGUGGGAAGAUUUGAUGGAAAGAAGUUAGACAUUGUAGACAGCAUUGGUGAUCGUUUGGACGACAUAAACGAAGCAUCUGAUUGCAGUGUCAAUCAUUCAUUUGGAUGGCAAAAGUUCAAAGUUUUGGUGCUGCAAUUGUAGAUGCAAGAAUUUCUACAUCCUUGUUCAAAGGUUCCUGCCAGAUCUUGCAAGGCCUUUGUAAAUUGGACAAUAGGUCAUACUUUUCCACUCAAGAACAAGAGAGACUCAUGGUACAACUAUGCUAACAGUUAGUCAUUCUAGGUACCAGGCUCAGUGUUGAAUUUGUUUUAGUAAAAUAACGAACCCUAAGUACCAUCUUGGUUCUUAGCUAACUUAAUUAUUUUGACAUGCCUACUUUAAGAUAAAUAGUCACAAUCCAAAAAUUUGCAGUUUGAAUGAUCAAUAAACAGGUUUUGUUAUU
Coffea arabica (coffee) is the source of this 1730-nucleotide non-coding RNA. NCBI's taxonomy places the organism in Eukaryota, Viridiplantae, Streptophyta, Magnoliopsida, Gentianales, Rubiaceae. The record is from RefSeq and is a predicted model, not a curated record.